AGAACGAACGCUGGCGGCAGGCUUAACACAUGCAAGUCGAACGCCCCGCAAGGGGAGUGGCAGACGGGUGAGUAACACGUGGGAACAUGCCCAAAGGUACGGAACAACUCCGGGAAACUGGAGCUAAUACCGUAUGUGUCCGUAAGGAGAAAGAUUUAUCGCCUUUGGAUUGGCCCGCGUCGGAUUAGCUAGUUGGUGGGGUAAAAGCCUACCAAGGCGACGAUCCGUAGCUGGUUUGAGAGAACGACCAGCCACACUGGGACUGAGACACGGCCCAGACUCCUACGGGAGGCAGCAGUGGGGAAUCUUGGACAAUGGGCGCAAGCCUGAUCCAGCCAUGCCGCGUGGAUGAUGAAGGCCUUAGGGUUGUAAAAUCCUUUCGUUGGGGACGAUAAUGACGGUACCCAAAGAAGAAGCUCGGCUAACUUCGCGCCAGCAGCCGC
RNAcentral lists this ribosomal RNA (443 nucleotides) under uncultured bacterium. RNAcentral describes it as "SSU rRNA". It matches the Rfam family "Bacterial small subunit ribosomal RNA", at positions 26 to 518 of the family's 1533-position model. The record is from RNAcentral.